RNAcentral lists this ribosomal RNA (253 nucleotides) under uncultured bacterium. RNAcentral describes it as "partial 16S ribosomal RNA". It matches the Rfam family "Bacterial small subunit ribosomal RNA", at positions 524 to 776 of the family's 1533-position model. The record is from RNAcentral.
UACGUAGGUGGCAAGCGUUGUCCGGAUUUAUUGGGUUUAAAGGGUGCGUAGGCGGCCCUGUAAGUCAGUGCUGAAAUAUCCCAGCUUAACUGGGAGGGUGGCAUUGAUACUGCGGGGCUAGAGUGCAGAAGGGGCAACUGGAAUUCUCGGUGUAGCGGUGAAAUGCGUAGAUAUCGAGAGGAACACCUGCGGCGAAGGCGGGUUGCUGGGCUGACACUGACGCUGAAGCGCGAAAGCUAGGGGAGCGAACGGG